AAAUUAAUGAGCUUGUAUUAAGCAUUUGUUUUGAAAACUUAAUAAAGAACUUAUAAAUUCUAUUAAUUUU
RNAcentral lists this transfer RNA (70 nucleotides) under Olinga feredayi. Its description in RNAcentral is "tRNA-Ser". The record is from RNAcentral. Lineage: Eukaryota; Metazoa; Arthropoda; Insecta; Trichoptera; Conoesucidae.